This is a long non-coding RNA of Dicentrarchus labrax (European seabass), 1307 nucleotides long. RefSeq lists it as uncharacterized. The record is from RefSeq and is a predicted model, not a curated record. NCBI's taxonomy places the organism in Eukaryota, Metazoa, Chordata, Actinopteri, Moronidae. The transcript is spliced from 3 exons.
GGAGGUUGAGUUCAGGGGGAAAUCACCAGCAGUCCGAACACAUUAGCUUUUACAUCUCCGAGACGCUGAUCUAAUUUGCGCUUACGAAAGGAAAUGAAGGAGAAUUGCAUUAGCACCGAUUCUUCUGCCAGGAGUGAUUCACGCUGUUUUAGUCAACGUGGACGUCUUCUGGCGGGUCUAUGCUGUGUCAUCCGCGAGCAGUCCACAGUGAGGAUGUGAUAAGUUACUAAUGAGCAGCGUGAACGAGUGGGAUUGACAAUGGUAUUGAUAAUGAAAUAGUAGAUAACAGUAAUGAAGAGCAAAAUAAAAAAAAACACAUUCCAGGAUAAACAGAGGAAGGCGUUUCCAGCGGGUGGGAAGCCACAACUGCAAAGACUCGGUCACCUUUGGUGCCAGAAGGAGUAAAUGUUUUGGUGGUCUGGUGUCAAAAGAAAUGAUGAGACAUAAACAGUUAAUCACAUUAUGUUGGACUACAGUUGGAUGAAGAUAUCGUUUGGUCUCUCUUUACAGUCCGCUGAAACUGAGGGUAUAAAAUAACUAAAUAACUGACGGCUUAUUUAACCAUUUUAACUUUUCUUUUUCAUUCCAAUGACUGUAGGACUGGCUCAUAUUAAGUUUUAUCCUGCACUCAACAAAAAAGAAAUGAACACAACAGUCUGCAUCAAUCUUUUGAGGUUAGGGGAAUUAGCUUUUCCUCUACAAUCAAAGGUAUUUUUAAUUACCCCUUACUUAAUAAUUGGUAGCACAAUCAAACAGUUUUGAGUUAAGCUUCUAUAAAACUUACCACAUUUCCACAUUGUGUCAACAUAACUUCUUGACCUGAAUCAGUAAAUUACAAGUUUUAUCUUACAACCAUGCAUUAAUUUAAGUGACAAUAGGUUUUAUAGCUUUUAUCUUGUGUUGUAACUCAUUUUAUUGCUCUGUUUGGAUAUUAAAUUACUACUAAAUUAAGGAUAAAUCUUAUGGCAAUAAUAUUGGUGAUAUUAUUCAAGUUACAGUAAAAAAAACAAUAUCUUACAGACUAUAAAGAAAGACUGUUUAAAAUAGAAAAUGCACACAGACUGUUAAAAAAUCUGAGUUUCAAAAUGAGUUCUGUUUUGAAUAUAUUGUAUGAAUCUGGAUGUACAGUAUCUAGAAGUUGUUCAUGUUGUGACAAUGCAAGGGCGCCAUCUUGUGGCAGCAAGGCAGAGAUGUUAAAAUGUUUACUGAUUGCUGGUUGUGCAGAACUUCAAGGUGAUGUUUAGGACUCAGUUUAAGGCUUUAUCCAAAAUUAUUGUUUGUGAAAUAAAGAAUACCAUAAUACAAUC